GACGAACGCUGGCGGCGUGCCUAAUACAUGCAAGUCGAACGCAGUGGGGACGGGUGAGUAACACGUGCGUAACCUCCCAUACGAGAGGAUAACACUUGGAAACAGGUGCUAAACCGAUACUGAUUUAUAGACUCGCGGUGCAUUAGCUAGUUGGUGAGGUAACGGCUCAACAAGGCCACGAUGCAUAGCCGACCUGAGAGGGGGAUCGGCCACACUGGGACUGAGACACGGCCCAGACUCCUACGGGAGGCAGCAGUAGGGAAUCUUCGGCAAUGGACGAAAGUCUGACCGAGCAACGCCGCGUGAGUGAAGAAGGUUUUCGGAUCGUAAAACUCUGUUGGUAGAGAAGCGGUAUCUAACCAGAAAGCCACGGCUAACUACGUGCCAGCAGCCGCGGUAAUAC
This 403-nucleotide ribosomal RNA is filed under the name uncultured bacterium. RNAcentral describes it as "partial 16S ribosomal RNA". It matches the Rfam family "Bacterial small subunit ribosomal RNA", at positions 28 to 526 of the family's 1533-position model. The record is from RNAcentral.